Molecule: transfer RNA, 64 nt
Filed under: Triatoma rubrofasciata (large kissing bug)
Lineage: Eukaryota; Metazoa; Arthropoda; Insecta; Hemiptera; Reduviidae
Description: tRNA-Phe
Source: RNAcentral
ACUCGGAUAGCUUAAAUUAAAGCAUAGUAUUGAAGAUACUAGUAUAAGGUUAUCUUUUCGGGUA